Gymnothorax javanicus (giant moray) is the source of this 85-nucleotide non-coding RNA. The record is from the annotation of a GenBank genome assembly. NCBI's taxonomy places the organism in Eukaryota, Metazoa, Chordata, Actinopteri, Anguilliformes, Muraenidae.
GCCGGGUUAGCUCACUCGGUUAAGGCGCUGCACUUGCGUUGCAGUAGUGAUUACUACAGCGUGGGUUCGAUACCCAGUCGUACCA